This 441-nucleotide ribosomal RNA is filed under the name Palapedia sp. RNAcentral describes it as "partial large subunit ribosomal RNA". It matches the Rfam family "Bacterial large subunit ribosomal RNA", at positions 1956 to 2597 of the family's 2925-position model. Lineage: Eukaryota; Metazoa; Arthropoda; Malacostraca; Decapoda; Xanthidae. The record is from RNAcentral.
GUAGCAUAAUCAUUAGGGAUUUAAUUGGAACCUAGAAUGAAGGGUCGGACAAAGGAAAAACUCUCUAGACGAUAAAAAUUGAAUUUUACUUUUAAGUGAAAAGGCUUAAAUUUAUCAAAGGGACGAUAAGACCCUAUAAAGCUUUAUAAAUAAUUUUAAUUUGGUUGAUUUUAAAUGAUAAAAAUUAAAUUUGAUUAUUUUAUUUUGUUGGGGUGAUAUGGGUAUAAAUGUUGUUAACUGCUUAUAAAGAAUUCUCUUGUGAGAGAGUUGCAAGUUCAUGAUCCUUUUUUAAGAUUAGAAGACUAAGUUACUUUAGGGAUAACAGCGUUAUUUCUUUUGAGAGUUCAUAUCGAAAAAGAAGAUUGCGACCUCGAUGUUGGAUUAAAAUGUCUUUAUAGUGCAGCCGCUAUAAAAGAGGGUCUGUUCGACCUUUGAAUUUUU